GAUCCUGGCUCAGGAUGAACGCUAGCUACAGGCUUAACACAUGCAAGUCGAGGGGAGACGACAUCGAAAGCUUGCUUUUGAUGGGCGUCGACCGGCGCACGGGUGAGUAACGCGUAUCCAACCUGCCUACCACUUGGGGAUAACCUUGCGAAAGUAAGACUAAUACCCAAUGACAUCCCACGAAGACAUCUGAAUGGGAUUAACGAUUUAUCGGUGAUGGAUGGGGAUGCGUCUGAUUAG
This 240-nucleotide ribosomal RNA is filed under the name uncultured bacterium. RNAcentral describes it as "partial 16S ribosomal RNA". It matches the Rfam family "Bacterial small subunit ribosomal RNA", at positions 15 to 244 of the family's 1533-position model. The record is from RNAcentral.